ACGAACGCUGGCGGCGUGCUUAACACAUGCAAGUCGAACGCUUGAGUCCUUCGGGGCAAGAGAGUGGCGCACGGGUGAGUAAUGAAUAGGAACGUACCUAUAGGUGGGGAACAACUCAGGGAAACUUGAGCUAAUACCGCAUGAUGUCGCAAGACCAAAGGGGGCCUCUCCUUGGAAGCUCCCGCCAAUAGAUCGGCCUAUUUCCCAUUAGCUAGUUGGUAAGGUAAUGGCUUACCAAGGCGACGAUGGGUAGCUGGUCUGAGAGGAUGAUCAGCCACACUGGAACUGAGACACGGUCCAGACUCCUACGGGAGGCAGCAGUGGGGAAUUUUGCACAAUGGGCGAAAGCCUGAUGCAGCAACGCCGCGUGAGUGAAGAAGGCCCUUGGGUCGUAAAGCUCUUUCGGCUAGAAAGAAGGGUUUGUAGCUUAAGAAGUAGCAGAUCUGACGGUACUAGAAGAAGAAGCACUGGCUAAUUCCGU
This 481-nucleotide ribosomal RNA is filed under the name uncultured bacterium. RNAcentral describes it as "bacterial SSU rRNA". It matches the Rfam family "Bacterial small subunit ribosomal RNA", at positions 29 to 506 of the family's 1533-position model. The record is from RNAcentral.